UGUUCUCGUGUCUUUUCCGUGUCCGAGUGCAGACAGAAUGACUCAUCCGAAACCAGGAGAAAGGAAACUGCUCCCAUCUUUUCAUCUGGAUUUUGUUCCAACAAUUAUUCUGUCAAAAGGUUUUUGUUCUGUUGUGCUUCAUGAUGCUGCUGCACCUUAACGUUAGUCUUGUGUUCGGGUCAGCGCCGACCCGGUUUGGUUUUUAUUUGCAUUGAAGAAUCGGUUCUAAUUCAUUCAUCCCAUCUCUCGUUUUACUUUAUGAGCUUGAUUUAAACGAAAUUCAAGUUUUACAUGUUUUAUUCUAAAAUGUUAAAUUUUGUCAUUUCUGGUGUUAGGGUCAGUUUGACCCGGUUAUAUCAACUAACUUUAGAAAGCAAUAAUUCAAACCAUUCCUGGAUUCUCCUCUUCUUCAUGUGAGCUUCAGGGAUGCUCGUCUUCCAGUACAGCAGCAAAAAGCAAAAUUAAUAAACUAGACUUCAUUCGGAUCCUGCUCUACCCAAUAGAUACACAGAGAAGCCUCAAAGGAGAAACCAAACUGUGAUGAGGCUAAACGGACUUCUGAGGUUCCCACAUCGAGAGGCCGUCAUCCCGUCACAGUUCUUUCUGUUCACAAAAGAAAAGGAGAUGAGGGCUGGACCAACAUUAAGGAUGAACUGGAGACGAGGAAAUGAUCGGGACGAGUAAAAGCUGCUUCAAACAG
Oryzias melastigma (Indian medaka) is the source of this 700-nucleotide long non-coding RNA. RefSeq lists it as uncharacterized. The transcript is spliced from 3 exons. The record is from RefSeq and is a predicted model, not a curated record. NCBI's taxonomy places the organism in Eukaryota, Metazoa, Chordata, Actinopteri, Beloniformes, Adrianichthyidae.